RNAcentral lists this non-coding RNA (284 nucleotides) under Paenibacillus sp. RNAcentral's name for it is "T-box sequence". It matches the Rfam family "T-box leader". From Rfam's summary of the family: Uncharged tRNA acts as the effector for transcription antitermination of genes in the T-box leader family. T-boxes are found upstream of many aminoacyl-tRNA synthetase genes and some amino acid biosynthetic genes usually in Gram-positive bacteria. The anticodon of a specific tRNA base pairs to a specifier sequence within the T-box motif, and the NCCA acceptor tail of the tRNA base pairs to a conserved bulge in the T-box antiterminator hairpin. Lineage: Bacteria; Bacillati; Bacillota; Bacilli; Caryophanales; Paenibacillaceae. The record is from RNAcentral.
GUAAAGACUGGGAACGGGAAGAGUAGGCGGUCAGCCCUUCAGAGAGCGGAAUGCAAGUGCUGUGACAUUCCGUAGGAUACAGCCACCGAAGUCGCCCCGGAGUCGCCCUUCUGAGCUUGUCUUCAUGGAUAUGAAAGAUAAGUUAGGAUGUGGCCGGUAGCAGCCGUUAUCUGUACGAGUGUCGCGCUAAGCUUCUGAACCGCAAGGUGAGAGAAGUGCAGGUUUAUUUUUCAUUGGCGCGAAACAAAGGUGGUACCGCGAAAGAAUGGCCUUUCGUCCUUUGA